RNAcentral lists this ribosomal RNA (324 nucleotides) under uncultured eukaryote. RNAcentral describes it as "partial 18S ribosomal RNA". It matches the Rfam family "Eukaryotic small subunit ribosomal RNA", at positions 1470 to 1796 of the family's 1831-position model. The record is from RNAcentral.
CCCUUAGAUGUUCUGGGCUGCACGCGUGCUACAAUGGCGCUUGCAACAAGUCUUGCCAACCCGAUAGGGUGAGCGGAUCUUUGAAGAGGCGUCGUGAUCGGGACAGUUGAUUGCAAUUAUUCGACUCGAACGAGGAAUUCCUUGUAAUCGCGAUUCAUCAUAUCGCGCUGAAUACGUCCCUGCCCUUUGUACACACCGCCCGUCGCUCCUACCGAUUGGGUGUGCUGGUGAAAUGUUCGGAUCGGCCGUUUGUCGCGGUUUCCGCGGCUCGUGGCUGAGAAGUUCAUUAAACCCUCCCACCUAGAGGAAGGAGAAGUCGUAACA